Molecule: long non-coding RNA, 816 nt
Filed under: Salmo salar (Atlantic salmon)
Lineage: Eukaryota; Metazoa; Chordata; Actinopteri; Salmoniformes; Salmonidae
Description: lncRNA (ENSSSAG00000097291.1)
Source: RNAcentral
AGAGAGCCAGAACAGAACAUGGCGACACUGGGGUGAUGAGGUGUGGUGGUGGUGGCUGAUAUCAGAUGGAUCCUGACGCCUAAAUGGCGCUCAUUUGAUGGUGCUCUCUGAUGAUGCGUCACAUGCUACAGUACUUCAUUAUAGUGAAGCUGGACAGCGCUCGCGGUUCAUUAAAAAGCAAUAUGUGGAGGUGUGAUUGGCCAUUUCCUGCAGAUAAGUAUCUCCUCAUACAUUUAAAGAAGACAGCCGGACUAGACUGGAUCGUGGAUUCUCUUCAGCUGCAAUGUUGGGUGGCCUGAGGUGUUCAGGUGAAGUGUAGCUUUCACUGGUAGGCCUAAACUGAGGUGCUAGACCAGUCAAUCCCAACCUUUCUGUUGAUGAUGGACACCUGAGAGUCCAGACAGGCGCCAAGACAAACACACUUCUCAGUCUGUGUGAUUAUUGCGCCACAGUACGAAUAAUUCCCUGUGAAAGCAAAGACGGGAGACUGAGGGAGAAGGGCCGGCUGCUGUCAAGCUGAAGGACUUGAACGUGUCAGAUAUGAUAUAUGGGUAGAGGAGAGACCGGGGUCUGGUGCUGCUUUUUUUGCAAGCUCACCCACCAUCCCCAUCCUCCUCCUCUCUCCUCCUUAAUGAACUAUUUGAGCAGCAUGUUGCCUGUGAUAGAGAUCUGUUGCUGGACAUGGAGGAUAUUGCCUUACCUCUGGUGAGUGGUCCAUUCUUAAUCAAAUCAAUCAAAAUCUCGAUUUCCAAUAUAAGAAAAAGGAAAUAAACAGUUAUUGCUCUAUAAGUGAGAGUAUAGUAUUAGAAGUCAGAC